This 380-nucleotide unclassified non-coding RNA is filed under the name uncultured Gemmatimonadaceae bacterium. RNAcentral's name for it is "contains 16S-23S intergenic spacer region". The record is from RNAcentral. Lineage: Bacteria; Pseudomonadati; Gemmatimonadota; Gemmatimonadia; Gemmatimonadales; Gemmatimonadaceae.
UCCGGUUUGGCACCGGCAGUCCCCCUAGAGUGCCCGGCUUUACCCGCUGGUAACUAGGGGCGGGGGUUGCGCUCGUUGCGGGACUUAACCCAACAUCUCACGACACGAGCUGACGACAGCCAUGCAGCACCUGUGCACGGACUCCGAAGAGGGCGCCCCGUUUCUGGGGCGUUUCCCGUACAUGUCAAGCCUAGGUAAGGUUCUUCGCGUUGCGUCGAAUUAAACCACAUGCUCCACCGCUUGUGCGGGCCCCCGUCAAUUCCUUUGAGUUUCAGCCUUGCGGCCGUACUCCCCAGGCGGGGCACUUCAUGCGUUAGCGCCGGCACCCAGGGGGUCGAUACCCCUCACGCCUAAUGUGCAUCGUUUACAGCUAGGACUAC